RNAcentral lists this ribosomal RNA (253 nucleotides) under uncultured archaeon. RNAcentral's name for it is "partial 16S ribosomal RNA". It matches the Rfam family "Archaeal small subunit ribosomal RNA", at positions 474 to 726 of the family's 1478-position model. The record is from RNAcentral.
UCCCAGCGGUCCAAGUCGCAACCUCAAUUAUUGGGUCUAAAACAUCUGUAGCUUGUUUGUUAAGUCUCCUGUGAAAUUCUAACUCUUAAGGUUAGAGCGUGCAGGAGAUACUGGCAGACUAGAGACUGGGGGAUGUAAGGAGUACAUUCAAGGAAGUGGUAAAAUACGUUGAUCUUGGAUGGACUAACAAUAGCGAAGGCACCUUACAAUAACAGUUCUGACAGUGAGAGAUGAAGGCUAGGGGCGCGAAAUG